This 253-nucleotide ribosomal RNA is filed under the name uncultured bacterium. RNAcentral describes it as "partial 16S ribosomal RNA". It matches the Rfam family "Bacterial small subunit ribosomal RNA", at positions 524 to 776 of the family's 1533-position model. The record is from RNAcentral.
UACGUAGGGUGCGAGCGUUAAUCGGAAUUACUGGGCGUAAAGCGUGCGCAGGCGGUCUCGCAAGUCCGAUGUGAAAUCCCCGGGCUCAACCUGGGAACUGCAUUUGUGACUGCACAGCUGGAGUGCGGCAGAGGGGGAUGGAAUUCCGCGUGUAGCAGUGAAAUGCGUAGAUAUGCAGAGGAACACCGAUGGCGAAGGCAAUCCCCUGGGCCUGCACUGACGCUCAUGCACGAAAGCGUGGGGAGCAAACAGG